This is a long non-coding RNA of Mustela lutreola (European mink), 704 nucleotides long. RefSeq lists it as uncharacterized. The transcript has 3 exons. The record is from RefSeq and is a predicted model, not a curated record. Lineage: Eukaryota; Metazoa; Chordata; Mammalia; Carnivora; Mustelidae.
GGGGAUCCUGGUUCCUAAAGAAGCUCAAGACCCCAUCCAGAGUCACGUCCACACGGGAACUGUCUCCCAUUAGUAGGGGUCCACUAGAAGCAAUUUUCAUAAGGUGGGCUCCGUCCAUGCCGGAGGCUCUGCAGGUGGUUGGGGCCUGGCUGGAUUUUCACAGGCUUGGAGUAUCAGGUCUGCCAGCGGCCAGCUUACAGGGGCAGCUAGAAGGGCCUUGAAGGCUACAAGAAAGUUUUUCCUGCCCCACAGAUGACAUCAUCUGCAGGAUAAACUCUAGCUGGACACUGCUGCAGCUGAGAAAUCCUGAGACAUCUGACACGCCCAUCAACCCCUAGUACUCUGCCUGUAGGGUCUAACAUAUGUGAGAAUGGUGAGAAAUCUUUAUUUGUAACUUGGAUUAGCAGGAGAAAAUAUUUGUGGAACUAGUUUCUUGAGCUUCGGGACUCUGGAAAAUUUGGCAGAAUACUCUUGGUUUGACCGUUUCAUUUCCUUCCAGAGAUGGUCACUGUUUACCUUUCUCUCUCUCUCUGGCAUUUGUCAUAAAAAGGAAUUACCAUAGGACAUAAUGCAAUCUUAAGCCUGCUGUUCAAGCGAGCCUCACAGACUGGUGAUUUCACAGUUCUCCUCAGACUGUCAUCUACUUGAACAAACUUUGCUAUAGGUCCCCUGUAUAAAAUCCAAAUAAAGUUUUGUUUGUCUUA